Molecule: small nuclear RNA, 106 nt
Filed under: Castor canadensis (American beaver)
Lineage: Eukaryota; Metazoa; Chordata; Mammalia; Rodentia; Castoridae
Source: RNAcentral
GUGUUUGCUUCAGUGACACAUAUGCUAAAUUGAAACAAUACAGAGAAUAUUAGCAUGGCCCCUGCACAAGGAUGACAUGCAAAUUUGUGAAGCAUUCCAAAUUUUU